Molecule: ribosomal RNA, 484 nt
Filed under: uncultured bacterium
Lineage: Bacteria
Description: partial 16S ribosomal RNA
Rfam family: Bacterial small subunit ribosomal RNA
Source: RNAcentral
AUUGAACGCUGGCGGCAGGCCUAACACAUGCGAGUCGAGCGGAUGAAGGGAGCUUGCUCCUGGAUUCAGCGGCGGACGGGUGAGUAAUGCCUAGGAAUCUGCCUGGUAGUGGGGGAUAACGUCCGGAAACGGGCGCUAAUACCGCAUACGUCCUGAGGGAGAAAGUGGGGGAUCUUCGGACCUCACGCUAUCAGAUGAGACUAGGUCGGAUUAGCUAGUUGGUGGGGUAAAGGCCUACCAAGGCGACGAUCCGUAACUGGUCUGAGAGGAUGAUCAGUCACACUGGAACUGAGACACGGUCCAGACUCCUACGGGAGGCAGCAGUGGGGAAUAUUGGACAAUGGGCGAAAGCCUGAUCCAGCCAUGCCGCGUGUGUGAAGAAGGUCUUCGGAUUGUAAAGCACUUUAAGUUGGGAGGAAGGGCAGUAAGUUAAUACCUUGCUGUUUUGACGUUACCAACAGAAUAAGCACCGGCUAACUUCGUG